RNAcentral lists this ribosomal RNA (565 nucleotides) under uncultured bacterium. RNAcentral's name for it is "bacterial SSU rRNA". It matches the Rfam family "Bacterial small subunit ribosomal RNA", at positions 1 to 570 of the family's 1533-position model. The record is from RNAcentral.
CCCUUAGAGUUUGAUCCUGGCUCAGGACGAACGCUGGCGGCGUGCUUAAUACAUGCAAGUCGAGCGAGAAGCCACCGCUCCGUAAGGAGUGGUGGUGGAAAGCGGCGAACGGGUGAGUAACACGUGGGUAAUGUGCCCUGAACUCUGGGAUAACAGCGGGAAACCGCUGCUAAUACCGGAUAACUCUGCAACGUCGCAUGACGAAGCAGACAAAGCUCCGGCGGUUCUGGAUCAGCCCGCGGUGUAUCAGCUUGUUGGUGGGGUAACGGCCUACCAAGGCUUUGACGCAUAGCUGGCGUGAGAGCGCGACCAGCCACACUGGGACUGAGACACGGCCCAGACUCCUACGGGAGGCAGCAGUAGGGAAUCUUGCGCAAUGGGCGAAAGCCUGACGCAGCGACGCCGCGUGAGGGAUGACGGCCUUCGGGUUGUAAACCUCUUUCAGCAGGGACGAAGCCUCACGGUGACGGUACCUGCAGAAGAAGCCCCGGCCAACUACGUGCCAGCAGCCGCGGUAAUACGUAGGGGGCAAGCGUUGUCCGGAUUUAUUGGGCGUAAAGAGCUC